GACGAACGCUGGCGGCGUGCCUAAUACAGGCAAGUCGAGCGGAUCUUGUCCUUCGGGACAAGGUUAGCGGCGGACGGGUGAGUAACACGUAGGCAACCUGCCCUCAAGACUGGGAUAACCUCCGGAAACGGAUGCUAAUACCGGAUAUGCGGUCUCUCCUCCUGGAGGGAUCGGGAAAGACGGAGCAAUCUGUCGCUUGGGGAUGGGCCUGCGGCGCAUUAGCUAGUUGGUGGGGUAACGGCUCACCAAGGCGACGAUGCGUAGCCGACCUGAGAGGGUGAUCGGCCACACUGGGACUGAGACACGGCCCA
Molecule: ribosomal RNA, 311 nt
Filed under: uncultured Paenibacillus sp.
Lineage: Bacteria; Bacillati; Bacillota; Bacilli; Caryophanales; Paenibacillaceae
Description: bacterial SSU rRNA
Rfam family: Bacterial small subunit ribosomal RNA
Source: RNAcentral